GACGAACGCUGGCGGCGUGCUUAACACAUGCAAGUCAAGCGGUAAGGCCCUUUCGGGGGUACACGGGCGGCGAACGGGUGAGUAACACGUGGGUGACCUGCCCUCAGCUCUGGGAUAAGCCUGGGAAACCGGGUCUAAUACUGGAUAUGACUCCAUGACGCAUGUUGUGGGGUGGAAAGCCUUGUGCGGCUGAGGAUGGGCCCGCGGCCUAUCAGCUUGUUGGUGGGGUGAUGGCCUACCAAGGCGACGACGGGUAGCCGGCCUGAGAGGGCGACCGGCCACACUGGGACUGAGACACGGCCCAGACUCCUACGGGAGGCAGCAGUGGGGAAUCUUGCGCAAUGGGCGAAAGCCUGACGCAGCGACGCCGCGUGGGGAUGACGGCCU
RNAcentral lists this ribosomal RNA (387 nucleotides) under uncultured bacterium. RNAcentral's name for it is "bacterial SSU rRNA". It matches the Rfam family "Bacterial small subunit ribosomal RNA", at positions 28 to 417 of the family's 1533-position model. The record is from RNAcentral.